Molecule: ribosomal RNA, 253 nt
Filed under: uncultured bacterium
Lineage: Bacteria
Description: partial 16S ribosomal RNA
Rfam family: Bacterial small subunit ribosomal RNA
Source: RNAcentral
UACGAAGGGGGCUAGCGUUGCUCGGAUUGACUGGGCGUAAAGGGCGCGUAGGCGGUUUGUACAGUCAGACGUGAAAUUCCUGGGCUCAACCUGGGGGCUGCGUUUGAUACGUGCAGACUUGAGUUCGGAAGAGGGUCGUGGAAUUCCCAGUGUAGAGGUGAAAUUCGUAGAUAUUCGCAAGAACACCAGUGGCGAAGGCGGCUCACUGGCCCAUUACUGACGCUGAGGCACGAAAGCGUGGGGAGCAAACAGG